UGCAAAAGAAUUAAUAAUUUUUUCCCUAAAUUGUUUUCUUUUCAGUUCUUGCAUCUGCCAUAUUGUGAUUUUAGAAUCUAGUUCAGAAGUGACCAGUGUGAAGGUGUGAUUUAUCAAAUUAUUUUUUCAGGCAGUUGGAAUUUGCAGAAAUUCCUUGAGUCUGUAUAACAGUAGUGCAAUAAAAGUGGCUUUAACUACCUAUUUUUGUGUUUAGUUUUAGAAAACCUCUCCCCAGAGAUUCAGCUUGUCUAUAAAUUCAGUGAUAAUCUAAAAAAUAUGAAGCAAAAGAACGAGAUAAAUCCGCUGGCUCAUAAGAUGAGUGAAACUGAACAAUCUCAGUCUCUGCUCCGGUUUAGAUACUGACAUGUCUGGAUUUCUGAAAACAGAGAGAAAGAUUUCACAUCGAUUAAAUGAUGAAGAUGACUCUCCAGAAAGAAGCCUACUGUCAAGUGCAGUUGUAAAAGAGACAUUAAUGGCUCCAAAGGAAUGGACACCACGGAAUGUAUUUCCAGGGGUUUUAAAAGAUUGUCAGAGUGCCACUAUGACCAUUACUGAGAUAGAUAUUACGGUAAAAGAUAAUUCUCUUGAGAAGUCUAUACCUGACUUUAUUUUAUCAUCAACAUCAGAGAAGAUUUCCAGGGAAACAUUAACUGUACAAAGUAUAAUGGGUGAUGAAUUUGAAAUUAGAGAUUUGCUGAAACCAUUCAGUGAUUCAGAGAGUCCAGAAAUGAUAAACCCCUUGCAUGACACGUUACAGUGUCAAGGUGAUGCUCUAUCUGUAGAUAUAUCAGUAGAUGAGAACAGCAAUGUCCUGCCAAUAGAGCUUCUGACAGCACUGAACUCCUUUUCAGAAUUUGUAGUACAGCCUGUCCGUCAAUUAGUAGGGAAGGAAAGAGAGCUUAAUGCUGAAGAAGAACAUGUGAGAUCAGAAUCCAGUAUUUUCCAGAUAGAUGACUGCACUCAAAUAACAGAUAACAGUUUUGAACCUCAAUUUUCUGUGAAGCAAUUGGAAGAAAUAAAAGCAUUAACAGAGGCUCCAUUUCAGUGUACUUUAGAUGAACAACUUGUAGGUAACCAGAAGAACCAGGAUUUGAUAAUUUCUGAUUAUUGCAAUGUCGCCUCUUAUGACAAACAAGCUGGUGAAGGAAAUUCCGGUUCAAUAGAGAAUACCUCGGGUAUAGAAACUACCAAAGCAACUUCUUGUAUAUUAAGGAGGUCAACUCGAUUAAGAGAAAACUGCACUAGAAAGCACAUAGAUGAAGCUUCCAGUUGUUAUAAAAUGCUAGAAGAAACUCACCAAAGAAUAUAUAGUAAUGACGAAGAAACAGGAAAUAAACUUUCAUCUAAAGAUUUUGGUAGAACACAAGAUUCUGCUUGUAAGAACAGCAAAGAACAGCAAUCAGAGCUGGAAGCCAGUACAUACCAAGGAUCAACUAUGGAUGUAAACAGCGAGGUUGAGCAGAUGAGGAAAAGCCAAAGGCUUGAAAAGAAAAUUAGUAAGAGAUGCUUCUGACAUUUAUUUGCCAGAUAAGUUACUCUUCUGUUGAACUGAUUCAAACAAAUGUACUGAACCAGAAAAGUAUAAAUUUGUUGGAUGGUAUUUUCAAAGCCACUGAAAUGUGCAUUUAUGAGCUACCUUUUUUAAAAACUUUAUAUACAUUAGUUUUAAUAAUAAUCCAUGAUACUUUGUACCAGUUUUUAUUUCACUACUUACAGUACAGACUCUAAUAAUUGACUUGCUUACACACAUCCUUCAUAAAAUUUAAGAAAAACAUUCAGGGGUGGAAAUCUAAUUUAGUAACAUUAUAAUUGAAAUGACUGAAUAUUCUGAAACAUCAAAACAAAACAAAAAAUAGAUCCAGAGUACAAAUGUAAGUCCUACAGUCUGAUUUGC
Long non-coding RNA from Chrysemys picta bellii (western painted turtle), 1894 nucleotides. The record is from Ensembl. Lineage: Eukaryota; Metazoa; Chordata; Testudines; Emydidae.